GAUGAACGCUGGCGGCGUGCCUAAUACAUGCAAGUCGAGCGAACAGACGCUGCGCUUGCUCCUCUGACGUUAGCGGCGGACGGGUGAGUAACACGUGUAUCACCUCCCUAUCAUACUGGUAUCUCUUCGGGAAACCGGCGCUUAUCCCGUAUAAUAUCUUGAUCCAUAUUGUUCAUUAGUGAAUGACGGUUUUUCUGUCACUUCUCGCUGGUUCCGCGCCGCUUUAGCUAGUUGUUACGUUCACGGCUUAUCACGGCGACCAUGCCUGACCGACCUGAGAGGGUGAUAGGCCACACGAGAACUGGGACACGGACAAGACUCCUGAGGGAGGGAGCAGUAGCGAAUCUGACGCAAUGGGCGAGAGCAUGACGGAGCAACGCCGCGUGAGUGAUGAAGGUCUUCGGAUCGUAAAAAUCGGUUAUGAGGGAAGAACAAAUGUGGAAGUAACUAUGCACGGAGUGACGGUACCUAAUCAGAAAGCCACGGCUAACUACGUG
RNAcentral lists this ribosomal RNA (497 nucleotides) under uncultured bacterium. RNAcentral describes it as "partial 16S ribosomal RNA". It matches the Rfam family "Bacterial small subunit ribosomal RNA", at positions 28 to 507 of the family's 1533-position model. The record is from RNAcentral.